RNAcentral lists this transfer RNA (87 nucleotides) under Thermopetrobacter sp. Its description in RNAcentral is "tRNA-Leu". It matches the Rfam family "tRNA". From Rfam's summary of the family: Transfer RNA (tRNA) molecules are approximately 80 nucleotides in length. Their secondary structure includes four short double-helical elements and three loops (D, anti-codon, and T loops). Further hydrogen bonds mediate the characteristic L-shaped molecular structure. tRNAs have two regions of fundamental functional importance: the anti-codon, which is responsible for specific mRNA codon recognition, and the 3' end, to which the tRNAs corresponding amino acid is attached (by aminoacyl-tRNA synthetases). tRNAs cope with the degeneracy of the genetic code in two manners: having more than one tRNA (with a specific anti-codon) for a particular amino acid; and 'wobble' base-pairing, i.e. permitting non-standard base-pairing at the 3rd anti-codon position. Lineage: Bacteria; Pseudomonadati; Pseudomonadota; Alphaproteobacteria. The record is from RNAcentral.
GCCCCUGUGGCGGAACUGGUAGACGCGACAGACUCAAAAUCUGUUGGCCUUCGGGCCGUGCCCGUUCGAGUCGGGCCAGGGGCACCA